AUUGAACGCUGGCGGCAGGCCUAACACAUGCGAGUCGAGCGGUAGCACAGAGAGCUUGCUCUCGGGUGACGAGCGGCGGACGGGUGAGUAAUGUCUGGGAAACUGCCUGAUGGAGGGGGAUAACUACUGGAAACGGUAGCUAAUACCGCAUAAUGUCGCAAGACCAAAGUGGGGGACCUUCGGGCCUCAUGCCAUCAGAUGUGCCCAGAUGGGAUUAGCUAGUAGGUGGGUAACGGCUCACCUAGGCGACGAUCCCUAGCUGGUCUGAGAGGAUGACCAGCCACACUGGAACUGAGACACGGUCCAGACUCCUACGGGAGGCAGCAGUGGGGAAUAUUGCACAAUGGGCGCAAGCCUGAUGCAGCCAUGCCGCGUGUGUGAAGAAGGCCUUCGGGUUGUAAAGCACUUUCAGCGGGGAGGAAGGCGUUAAGGUUAAUAACCUUGUCGAUUGACGUUACCCGCAGAAGAAGCACCGGCUAACUCCGUGCCAGCAGCCGCCGCAG
RNAcentral lists this ribosomal RNA (503 nucleotides) under uncultured bacterium. Its description in RNAcentral is "partial 16S ribosomal RNA". It matches the Rfam family "Bacterial small subunit ribosomal RNA", at positions 30 to 523 of the family's 1533-position model. The record is from RNAcentral.